UGGUGGAGUGAUUUGUCUGGUUGAUUCCGAUAACGAACGAGACUCUCAGAGUAAACUGGCUUGCUGUAGUAAUUCGCGUUACUUCCGGCCUCUUUUCUCGACAAUUCGUUUUAAACGAAAGGAAGCAGAGAGCAAUAACA
Molecule: ribosomal RNA, 140 nt
Filed under: uncultured eukaryote
Lineage: Eukaryota
Description: partial 18S ribosomal RNA
Rfam family: Eukaryotic small subunit ribosomal RNA
Source: RNAcentral